Molecule: ribosomal RNA, 253 nt
Filed under: uncultured bacterium
Lineage: Bacteria
Description: partial 16S ribosomal RNA
Rfam family: Bacterial small subunit ribosomal RNA
Source: RNAcentral
UACAGAGGUCUCAAGCGUUGUUCGGAUUCAUUGGGCGUAAAGGGUGUGUAGGUGGCGCCGUAAGUCGGGUGUGAAAUUUCGGAGCUUAACUCCGAAACUGCAUUCGAUACUGCGGUGCUUGAGGACUGGAGAGGAGACUGGAAUUCAUGGUGUAGCAGUGAAAUGCGUAGAGAUCAUGAGGAAGACCAGUGGCGAAGGCGGGUCUCUGGACAGUUCCUGACACUGAGACACGGAGGCCAGGGGAGCAAACGGG